Molecule: ribosomal RNA, 492 nt
Filed under: uncultured bacterium
Lineage: Bacteria
Description: partial 16S ribosomal RNA
Rfam family: Bacterial small subunit ribosomal RNA
Source: RNAcentral
AGUGAACGCUGGCGGUAGGCCUAACACAUGCAAGUCGAACGGCAGCACAGUAAGAGCUUGCUCUUACGGGUGGCGAGUGGCGGACGGGUGAGGAAUACAUCGGAAUCUACUUUUUCGUGGGGGAUAACGUAGGGGAACUUACGCUAAUACCGCAUACGACCUACGGGUGAAAGCAGGGGAUCUUCGGACCUUGCGCGAUUGCAUGAGCCGAUGUCGGAUUAGCUAGUUGGCGGGGUAAAGGCCCACCAAGGCGACGAUCCGUAGCUGGUCUGAGAGGAUGAUCAGCCACACUGGAACUGAGACACGGUGCAGACUCCUACGGGAGGCAGCAGUGGGGAAUAUUGGACAAUGGGCGCAAGCCUGAUCCAGCCAUACCGCGUGGGUGAAGAAGGCCUUCGGGUUGUAAAGCCCUUUUGUUGGGAAAGAAAAGCAGCAGGUUAAUACCCCGCUGUUCUGACGGUACCCAAAGAAUAAGCACCGGCUAACUCCGUG